Molecule: long non-coding RNA, 873 nt
Organism: Astyanax mexicanus (Mexican tetra)
Lineage: Eukaryota; Metazoa; Chordata; Actinopteri; Characiformes; Acestrorhamphidae
Exons: 2
Source: RefSeq, a predicted model, not a curated record
AUGAGUGGGAAAUACUGUUGACCCUGACCCAGCACUUCCUUUUGGGUCAAGCCGUCAGGAGCAGGUGAAUGCUGGAAGAAAGUUGACAGAAAGCUAGAUACAAGCCAAACUUAGGUGAUAGAAACCUUAUUAUUAUCAGUAAUAACUCUCAUCUACUCUAAAACGCUGAGCUGGUGGAGCCAAGACGCAGUUUGUGGUGAAUGAGGAGCUUAUUAGCCUGAUACACAGAGGUUUUUUUGCAUCGGUCAGGUUUUUUGACUAGAGUUCGAAUUGGAUUCCCUCGUUCCUACGUUUGAUGGCGAGCCUCCCUGGACUUCGACCCUGAAAGCUGUUUGCAAGUACUGUGGACAACUCUGAUCUGUGAAACCCCUUUUUUCCCUUAUUGCUGAACCUUUAUUCAUCUUCAGAGCGGUAGGAGAAAUACUCACCAUGCCAUAGACUGGACUCUUUGCACAUACCCACACUUCAAACUCCAACUCCCACCUGUUAAAAAACAAAAGAAAAAAAGAACUUUAUAUUGUUGUGGUUUUGAUAUAUGUAUAUUGUGUUAUAAUUUUAAUUGAACUUAAUUCUUGAAUUUACUAAAUCUAACUAAUAUUCUUAGUGAAAAAGGGAUAUUCUGAUAUUGAUACUGAGGUUGAUAUUGAUAUUUUGCAUAUAUAAAUAUAUUAUUAUUAUAGAUUUUCCUACCCGGGUAGUAGUAAUAUAAAUAGUAUCACAUACAACAACAUCGGGGAAAGAUAAUAUUGGUAUUAUUCAUAUUGAAUAUUCUAUAUCUUUUGUUUAUUAUUUUCUUUUAUUAUAAUAGUAUUAUAAUAGUAUUCGUACUUACCUUUUCAAUAAAUGGAGGCUUCCACUAAGCUCCAAAUUCCA